Molecule: long non-coding RNA, 387 nt
Organism: Andrographis paniculata
Lineage: Eukaryota; Viridiplantae; Streptophyta; Magnoliopsida; Lamiales; Acanthaceae
Exons: 3
Source: RefSeq, a predicted model, not a curated record
GAAUCUGAUCUAGCCGUGGUUUCAACGGAUCUGACUUCAACGCCAAAAUUGAUCUCCCAAAAGGAGGACGGAAUCCAGAAGAACUACCAACAACGCCCUAAAAUUCAACAUAGUAAGAAAGCAGGAAUACGUGAUACGAAUCAUACGUCAAUCAGUUUGAAGAAGUGCAAAAUAGUUUGAGCAUUAAAUUGCUAAAGACUUGAGCGAACUGUAAAUCACAUCCACCACAAAGAUCAUAAAUGCAUAGCAAACGCACGAAGACCCCUACUCAGCAGCAUCAGAUUCCAGAACAAUAUAUAUAUAUACAUGUAUAGGUAUAUAUAUAACACUCACGGAUUCGAGAUCGGCGUGGUCGGAGGCAGCGGGGAACAGAAAUGAUACAGUGAG